GUAGUCAUACGCUCGUCUCAAAGAUUAAGCCAUGCAUGUGUAAGUAUAAAUAAUUUUACUUUGAAACUGCGAAUGGCUCAUUAUAUCAGUUAUAGUUUAUUAGAAAUAUUUUACUACUUGGAUAACCGUAGUAAUUCUAGGGCUAAUACAUGAGUAAAACCUCAACUUCGGAAGAGGUGUGUUUAUUAGUAUGAAAACCAUAUAUCUUCGGAUAUAAUAGUGAGUAAUAAUAACCUUUCAUAUCGUAUGUCGUAAGAUAACGAUAGUUCUUUCAAGUUUCUGCCCUAUCAGCUUUCGAUGGUAGUAUAUGGGACUACCAUGGCAGUAACGGGUAACGAAGAAUUUGGGUUCGAUUUCGGAGAGGGAGCCUGAGAGAUGGCUACCACAUCCAAGGAAGGCAGCAGGCGCGUAAAUUACCCAAUCCUGACAUAGGGAGGUAGUGACAAUAAAUCACAAUGCGGAACUUUUA
RNAcentral lists this ribosomal RNA (469 nucleotides) under Blastocystis sp. Its description in RNAcentral is "SSU rRNA". It matches the Rfam family "Eukaryotic small subunit ribosomal RNA", at positions 20 to 496 of the family's 1831-position model. The record is from RNAcentral. Lineage: Eukaryota; Bigyra; Opalinata; Blastocystidae.